This 305-nucleotide ribosomal RNA is filed under the name uncultured bacterium. RNAcentral's name for it is "bacterial SSU rRNA". It matches the Rfam family "Bacterial small subunit ribosomal RNA", at positions 336 to 658 of the family's 1533-position model. The record is from RNAcentral.
UUCCUACGGGGGGCAGCAGUGGGGAAUAUUGGACAAUGGGGGGAACCCUGAUCCAGCGACGCCGCGUGAGUGAAGAAGUAUUUCGGUAUGUAAAGCUCUAUCAGCAGGGAAGAAAAUGACGGUACCUGACUAAGAAGCCCCGGCUAACUACGUGCCAGCAGCCGCGGUAAUACGUAGGGGGCAAGCGUUAUCCGGAUUUACUGGGUGUAAAGGGAGCGUAGACGGCUGUGCAAGCCAGAUGUGAAAGCCCGGGGCUCAACCCCGGGACUGCAUUUGGAACUGCGUGGCUUGAGUGUCGGAGAGGG